AUUAAUAAUCGGAGUCGCGAACUCCAAAAUUUAAU
This 35-nucleotide non-coding RNA is filed under the name unclassified sequences. RNAcentral's name for it is "S16-Flavobacteria ribosomal protein leader". It matches the Rfam family "S16-Flavobacteria ribosomal protein leader". The record is from RNAcentral.